This is a long non-coding RNA of Aegilops tauschii subsp. strangulata, 1160 nucleotides long. RefSeq lists it as uncharacterized. The record is from RefSeq and is a predicted model, not a curated record. Lineage: Eukaryota; Viridiplantae; Streptophyta; Magnoliopsida; Poales; Poaceae.
UACGCAGCCCUGACUCGCCCGUCGCUGAAAUUGCUGCCCUGCAUGAGGGUUUCUUCCGCCGCCGCGCCCCCAUCCCUCCGCCGCCGCCGUCCCUCCACCCUGUGGUACCCGUCCUCGAUCCGUGGUCACCAAAUCUGGACGAGAUCGGCAGGAUCCGCCGCAUGUCCCGCGACACCUAGCCGCAGCUGCUCGUCGGCCAUGCGGGGAGCACGGACGAGCUGCUCGUCGACGUCCAUCCCGAAGCCCCGCUGACGAUCGUGCCCAGCCUCCUCGACAGCGCGCCUCUCCAACUUGCCGCAUGCCAAAUUUUAGUAGGGGAAGGAUGGAUACCGCAAGGCUUUCAUAUGUGUUUUGAUUUUGCCGAUAGGGAUUUCUAAUAUUCUGACAAGAGUCAAACUAGCAAUCGUGAAGAUGGAGAAUUCAUGCAACUCCAUCUUACUUCAACCCUCAGCCAUCUAAUUGGUGGUAUGGUGUGCUUCUGAUGGAAUUUCACGGCGUUUGUACCAGCAGCAUAGUAAAAAACUCCCAUCAACACGGCUUAUUUAUCGUUUCUGGAGGGCCUCACAGAUGAGCUAUUCAUCGGCGGCACCCUGCCAGUCAUUUAGAGGAUCUGCGGGAACAAAUAAACAAGCAGAGCGUCAUCAGUCAGGGACCAACAUCCAUGCCAACUGCCCAAGAUGACUGCUAAGGCAAUUAAUAUUCUCUCUCAAUCUUCAGCCACCAUCUGAUGUUAAUUGAUCUUGAUCUUCCCCACUCGCCAAUUCUGAAGACACUUCGGAUCUCACAUUAACUUCAUUCAGUCUUUAAGAAUAUCAAAGGUAUGUUGUACAAUAAUUUUACAACUAAACAAACCUUCCAAAUGUAUCGAUAUCAUUUUCACUAAUAUGCAUAGUCUUCUGUUGGUAGAAUAGACAUAUGGAUCUCAAAGCUAUGGAUCAUGCGCCCAUACAAAAAAGGACAACUGACUAGAUUGAUGAUACGUUAUGGCAAGAAGGCUAUAUAUUCAUGGGUGCAAACGGUGCCAGUGAGUAGGCGGCGAGUAUACUACGCCGAGAAGCGAUACAGGGGCAUGAAUCUUGAGACGGUGUGUGCAAUGACCUGCGCUACUGCACUAAUAGCCUUGACAGAGCACUAGGGCCGACUCGACAGGGCAUGCAACC